GAUGAACGCUGGCGGCGUGCCUAAUACAUGCAAGUCGAGCGAACGGACGAGAAGCUUGCUUUUCUGAUGUUAGCGGCGGACGGGUGAGUAACACGUGGAUAACCUACCUAUAAGACUGGGAUAACUUCGGGAAACCGGAGCUAAUACCGGAUAAUAUUUUGAACCGCAUGGUUCAAAAGUGAAAGACGGUCUUGCUGUCACUUAUAGAUGGAUCCGCGCUGCAUUAGCUAGUUGGUAAGGUAACGGCUUACCAAGGCAACGAUGCAUAGCCGACCUGAGAGGGGGAUCGGCCACACUGGAACUGAGACACGGUCCAUACUCCUACGGGAGGCAGCAGUAGGGAAUCGUCCGCAAUGGGCGAAAGCCUGACGGAGCAACGCCGCGUGAGUGAUGAAGGUCUUCGGAUCGUAAAACUCUGUUAUUAGGGAAGAACAUAUGUGUAAGUAACUGUGCACAGCUUGACGGUACCUAAUCAGAAAGCCACGGCUAACUACGUG
Molecule: ribosomal RNA, 497 nt
Filed under: uncultured bacterium
Lineage: Bacteria
Description: partial 16S ribosomal RNA
Rfam family: Bacterial small subunit ribosomal RNA
Source: RNAcentral